UGUAGGUAUAAAUUCUCUUUGGCGGCAAUCGAAAAAUUGGAAUCGCUGGCGCUUAGAAAUUUUAAUUUAAUUUGGUAAAUAAUCAAUUUUAAUCAUCACUUGCUCUGCGCCCGUAUACUUUAGAAAAUGGCAGAUGGUAUUACCAAUGAAGAACUUGAAAAGGAAAUUUCAAAAAUCCUUCAAGAUGCAAACUUGGCAGAAACUUCAACUCGAAAAGUUGUACAGAAGUUAGAAGAAAUAUUUGACACUGACUUAAGUGAUAAGAAGAAGGUUAUAGACCAACUUGUGAUGGACUAUGUGAACGGGCAGGAAUCAGAAAGUGAGGAGGAAAAGAAACCUGUGAAGAAAGCUGCAAAACCAAAGAAAGCACGCAAACAAAGCUCUGAUGAGGAAGAAGAAGAGGACGGUAGUAACGAAUGUGAUUCCGAGGAGGAGAAAAAGCCCGUUAAGAAAAGCAAGAAGGAUGAUGAUGAUUACAAAAAACCAGCAAAACGGGCCGCGCGGCCCGCAAAGAAGGCUCGCAAGGCAUCUUCUGAUGAAGAUGAAGACGCAUCUGAAGACAGUGACUCUGAAGAGGACAAGAAGCCAGCUAAAAAGAAGAGUGCGGCGAAAGGAAGUAAAGCGAAAGGCGGUAAGGGUGGUGGAUAUACACGGCCCUUACGGCUGUCUCCCGCACUGUCUGAACUGAUGGGUGCGGAGUCGAUGCCGCGCCACGAGGUGGUCAAACAAGUGUGGAACAUUAUCAAGACGAAGAACCUGUACGACCCCAACAACAAACAGUUCGCCAUCUGUGACGACGCGCUCUACAAGGUGAGACAGUCCUGUGUCCAGGUUGUGAGGGACGGGCAACAAGUGAGGAGCAUGAUCCAGACCAUAGACCUUAUGACCCCAACAAUAUACAGUUCGCCAUCUGUGACGACGCGCUCUACAAGGUGAGACAGUCCUGUGUCCAGGUUGUAAGAGCCGGUCAACAAGUGAGGAGCAUGAUCCAGACCAUAGACCUUAUGACCCCAACAAUAUACAGUUCGCCAUCUGUGACGACGCGCUCUACAAGGUGAUUGGCACGAAGCGAUUCAGAACGUUUGGCAUGAUGAAGUAUCUGAAGACACAUUUCCUAGACUAGGUGACACAUCUACGUGAUACAACUAAUUAUUGUCAUCAAUAUAUUGUGAAAUUCAGUUUCUGUUAAUUAAGUAUUCACAGGGUUUGUUAAAUCAGUAUAAAUGCUUGUUAAAUCUACUUUAAUAAUUUUAGCCUAUUAUAUUUAAUGUGAUUAUUAAACAGAGACUAAUAAAUAAAUUACUGAGGUAAGUCAUUUGGAUGAUUUGAAGCUAUUUUCUUAUGCUUAUAUUAUUAAUAUUUUGAACCUUCUUGUAUCAUGUACGCAGGUAUAUGCAUAUGAGUGUAUUUAAUAUGAAAAAAAAAACAAAUUUAAUAUCAAGAACAAAAAAAAAUUAUAAAAUAGACAAAUUCUAAUUCUUACAUAAUAUUAUGUAUCAUAUUCUAAAUAUUAAUUAGGUGUGUGACGCUACCAUAACGUAACAUUAUUUUCUUCAUAAAUUGAUUAUGAUUUUGUCGUUGGUGUUAUUGUCAAUCAAUUAUAUUAUGUCUAUACUUUAGUGAUAGCUAUAGCAUAGCUUUUACAAAAAGGAGUUGAAAUAAAAAAAAACUCAUCGGAGACAAUAAAAUGAGACAUAAUAUCAACAAAAUUGAUUCAUGACCCCACUGUGCUGAUAUUUCUAUUAAAUCAUAAAAACAGGUUUAUAUUUGCACGAAAAACAUUGUAUGGCAAUUGGUGGACGGUCAGUGUAUAAUAAAAUGAUAACAGUUACUUAGGAAAUGUAUAUUCAAGCGAAUUUCGACCUAAUUGUUUAUUAUGACUGUAGGAAAAUGAAAAUAAGGUGGGUCACGAAUAAAUUUUGUCGAUAGUAUCUUUAUAUAUUAUAAUAAUUAGGUCGUAAUACUAUUAUGUCAAAUUAAAGUAAACAUUAUUUUUAUUAUAAACUUAGUUUAAGUGAGAUAAACGAGGAUCUAAGUAAUUGUUAGUCCAGCUAGUUUAUUAGGAUCUACGUUAUAUGGAAUCAUAUAAGAAAAAUUAUUAGCUCGUGAAUAUAUGUCAUAAUUGGACAUAGUUCCCGAAAAACGUUCCAAUCCACAAACAUCACAUUUUAAGAAAUUCGUGUAUUAAGUACCUUCAAAAAAAGCGCGUACACCUUCCUUAAAGGCCGGCAACGCUCUUGUGAUUCCUCUGGUGUUGCAAGAGAAUGUGGGCGGCGGUGAUCACUUAACACCAGGUGACCCGUAGGCUCGUUUGUCCUCCUAUUCCAUAAAAAAAAAACGUUUUAUAAAUAUUAGUGUAUUCCAUACAAGUGGGUUGGGCUACUAAGUCAUGGUGUCAUUUAAAGAGUGACAGUAGGGCUGCCAUGUUUUUCAGUCCGUUAAUAUGAAUGACAUGAUUGUGGUUUGGAACUUUUUUCUGGAAUUACGUCAAAUUGAUGUUGCUUUUACCUCAAACGAGGUAAAUUAUUGGUGACUAAUUAUUUACAUCUAUGAGGUAUAUUAUACUAUAUAUUUUAAACUAUUAACUAUUUACUGAUAUUUUGAGAUCGAUUUUGUUUUAAAAGUUUCAAGAAGUAUUGUAUUGUAGUAAAUAAAACUACUUUAUAAGUAGCAUAUUUUUCGUUCCUAUAAUGUUUGUCUUCUGUUAUUGACGCUAUCAAUAAUGUAGUCGGUAUGUAAUAGUGAAUUAAUUCCGCUAUUUGAGAUAUGACAAAAAAUAAUGAAGAUCUGUAAAGGUUUUAGUGGUAACGUCAUUUUUGCGGCCAGUUAUGAACCCGACUAAUCAACUGGUUCGGACUUGUUUACUGUUUACGGUGAACCAGUGAGCACGAACGCGUGGUGCGAGCCGUUACUCGCCCGAUAAAAAUAGAACAAAAUGGAUUAACUUGAAUAAUUAUUACUAACCUACUCAACUAAAUUAUUUACUAACUCACUCUAACUCUCGACUAAAUUUUUGGUGUUCAGACACAUUUAGCUACUAAAUUACUCGGCACUCGACUAAAAUACUCGUCUAGUCCGAACUACGCUUUAGGGAGCUAAGUAAUCCUUAAUAUACAGUGCUAAAAUUUUUGUUGUGCGACAAAAAUUUACGAAUUCUAAUUUGAAUUGAAUUUGUUUAUAACAUUACUGAUCCUCAUUGUAAGUGGUCAUAAUAUGCUAAGCUGAUAAUGUAACGUGAUUUUAAUAUACGUUAUACGUCCAUGCAUGAAUAAAUUACCUACGUAUUUUUCAAGCUACUCUCACCUUGGAGAUAAGAAAUGUGAGAUUUUGCUGGUAUGGGCUUUUCAUAAUGUAGGUAUAUAUUAAAUCUAAUUAACUUUAUUUUUGUUGCUUGCGUUGGAUUUUUCUAAAUACAUACUCGACAUCAUUGCAAAUAGUCAAUAGAUUUAGCUAAAGUUGUUAUAUCAGCUUUUAUUUGACAUGUUGCGUUUUUCGAGCUCAUCAACUUAGAUUUUCUAAAGUUUUCAUGUUAUUUGGUUGGCUCCAUUGUAUUUGUUUCAUGAGGAAUUGUUUGCAUCUUUGCUUCGUGUUUUAUACAGUCCCCGAAUCCCUACAAGACUGUAUUUUUUCCAGCUAUCACCCCAAAAAUACUAUUUCUCGCACUUGUCCCCCCCUCUUUUUGGAGGGAUUCCCCCGCUACGGCUUCAGUGAAUGAGCGCACACAUCACAGGUUAAUAUUAUAUCGUUAAAUAAAAAUAAAAGUGGGUAUAUAGGAAUAUCUCAUACUCAACCAUAAUAUUGCACAUCCCUAAAGCUUUUAGUAAUAAGGGCUUCACCAAUUUGAGGGUUAUACCAAUAGAAUUUGUAUCUUUACUUAAAACUUAAAUUUUGUAUCACCCCAGUUAUAAUUAAAUACUUUCUGCAACCUAUCUAUAUUACAAUCAAUAGCUGUUAUUGGUCUGUUUUAGAGUUUGGACCUAUUUAAUGGUAUAUCUCACUUGAUGUCUGUAUUUCACAUUAGUCUGACGGUUUUGGGGACUUUUAUAUUUAGGACCGACCCCAGAGAGAGUGAGAGAUUAGUCAUGCCUUUGACUGAGUUGCUCUCAAUAGCUCUAAUAUUUGACAAUCUGUUGUGUUUUAAUAUACUGGCUCCUUUGCUUAUUUUAAUAUCUUUUUCUUUAUGAAAAUACGGGACGAGACGAGCAGGACGUCCACCUUAUGGUAAUUGAUAUGAUUACAAUGCAGUGCCGUUCAGGAUUCUUGAAAAGCCCAAAAAUUCUGAGCGGCACUACAAUUGCGCUCGUCUCCUUGAGACAUAAGAUGUUAAGUCUCAUUUGCCCAGUAAUUUCACUAGCUACAGCGCCCUUCACACCGAAACACAGUAAUGUUUACAUAAUACUGCUUCACGGCAGAAAUAGCCGCCGCUGUGGUAGCCAUAAUCUAGCCGGCAUCCGUUGCGAGCCUCCCACUUUUAACAUCUUAUACAACAAAUCAAUAGAAUCCUCUCCAAUCAAUGUAUGAUUUUGGCUCGUCUGAUCAUCCAUUUUUGAUGGUAUUCAAUGAUGUAUACAAUUUGUAAUACUAUCCUAUUACUGUGUAUAACCAUUCGCUUAUUGGAGAUGAAAAACUGCCAAUAACUAAUAAUGAAAUAACUAUGUAAACUCAUUAAUAUUUGAUCAUUUAUCUUUAAUCUUGAUUUUUUCUAUUACAUAGUUUCUUGGUUGUUUCAGGAUUAAAACUAUUACGUUAUUACUUAGGUGGUAUUUUAUUUUAGUGUUCAUAAUAUAAUCGUUAUAAUAAUAAUGUUUAUUUUCCAAUAUAAUUGAAAAUAUGUAUUUUGUUUCUUUUUUAUAAAUACAAAUUAGUAGAUCAGUUCGAGUAUAGAUUAACCCCCUUAUUCAUAAUAGUCUGCUAACUUAAAGCAUUGCUAAUUCACACUCUGUCUUCUUCUAUUGACCUAAGUGAGAAUGAGAAAAAACACUCCUUAACGGCUGUUUAAAGUUAGCAGACCAUUAUGAAUAAGGGGGUUAGAAUAAGAAAUUGUGGAAUACUGUGAUUGUAAACCUCAUAAAAUAGAUUUUAGUUUAAUAAUUAAGUUGUGCUACUACAGUUGUGAUUUGAAAAUAAAAAGAUUCAAAAAAG
Leptidea sinapis is the source of this 5142-nucleotide RNA transcript. RefSeq lists it as uncharacterized. Lineage: Eukaryota; Metazoa; Arthropoda; Insecta; Lepidoptera; Pieridae. The transcript has 10 exons. The record is from RefSeq and is a predicted model, not a curated record.